RNAcentral lists this transfer RNA (76 nucleotides) under Clostridiaceae bacterium. RNAcentral's name for it is "tRNA-Val". It matches the Rfam family "tRNA". Rfam says of the family: Transfer RNA (tRNA) molecules are approximately 80 nucleotides in length. Lineage: Bacteria; Bacillati; Bacillota; Clostridia; Eubacteriales; Clostridiaceae. The record is from RNAcentral. RNAcentral also lists the same sequence under 1 other name.
GGGAUUUUAGCUCAGCCGGGAGAGCACUUGCUUCACACGCAAGGGGUCGUCGGUUCAAGUCCGGCAAAUCCCACCA